RNAcentral lists this ribosomal RNA (253 nucleotides) under uncultured bacterium. RNAcentral describes it as "partial 16S ribosomal RNA". It matches the Rfam family "Bacterial small subunit ribosomal RNA", at positions 524 to 776 of the family's 1533-position model. The record is from RNAcentral.
UACAGAGGUCCCGAGCGUUGUUCGGAUUCAUUGGGCGUAAAGGGUGUGUAGGAGGUCUUGUAAGUCGGACGUGAAAUCUCACCGCUUAACGGUGAAACUGCGUUCGAUACUGCUUGGCUAGAGGAUCGGAGGGGGUAUCGGAAUUCAUGGUGUAGCAGUGAAAUGCGUAGAUAUCAUGAGGAACACCGGUGGCGAAAGCGGAUACCUGGAAGAUUCCUGACUCUGAAACACGAAAGCUAGGGGAGCAAACGGG